This 314-nucleotide unclassified non-coding RNA is filed under the name plant metagenome. RNAcentral's name for it is "partial contains 5.8S ribosomal RNA, internal transcribed spacer 2, and large subunit ribosomal RNA". The stretch from base 1 to 105 matches the Rfam family "5.8S ribosomal RNA", at positions 50 to 154 of the family's 154-position model. The record is from RNAcentral.
GAAAUGCGAUAAUUAAUGUGAAUUGCAGAAUUCAGUGAAUCAUCGAGUCUUUGAACGCACAUUGCGCCCCCUGGUAUUCCGGGGGGCAUGCCUGUCCGAGCGUCAUUGCUGCCCUCAAGCACGGCUUGUGUGUUGGGCUUCCGUCCCUGGCAACGGGGACGGGCCCAAAAGGCAGUGGCGGCACCAUGUCUGGUCCUCGAGCGUAUGGGGCUUUGUCACCCGCUCCCGUAGGUCCAGCUGGCAGCUAGCUUCGCAACCAAUCUUUUUAACCAGGUUGACCUCGGAUCAGGUAGGGAUACCCGCUGAACUUAAGC